GCAUUGGUAGUUCAGUGGUGGAAUUCUCACCUUCCGUGUGGGAUACCUGGGUUUGAUUUCUGGCCAAUGUG
RNAcentral lists this transfer RNA (71 nucleotides) under Loxodonta africana (African savanna elephant). It matches the Rfam family "tRNA". Rfam says of the family: Transfer RNA (tRNA) molecules are approximately 80 nucleotides in length. Their secondary structure includes four short double-helical elements and three loops (D, anti-codon, and T loops). The record is from Rfam by way of RNAcentral. Lineage: Eukaryota; Metazoa; Chordata; Mammalia; Proboscidea; Elephantidae.